AGUGGAUCCUGAGUACGACGGAGCACGUGAAAUUCCGUCGGAAUCUAGGAGGACCAUCUCCUAAGGCUAAAUACUCUCUAGUGACCGAUAGUGAACCAGUACCGUGAGGGAAAGGUGAAAAGUACCCCGGAAGGGGAGUGAAAGAGAACUUGAAACCGUGUGCUUACAAGUAGUCAGAGCCCGUUAAUGGGUGAUGGCGUGCCUUUUGUAGAAUGAACCGGCGAGUUACGA
RNAcentral lists this ribosomal RNA (231 nucleotides) under Staphylococcus sp. HMSC62A08. RNAcentral's name for it is "partial 23S ribosomal RNA". It matches the Rfam family "Bacterial large subunit ribosomal RNA", at positions 400 to 633 of the family's 2925-position model. Lineage: Bacteria; Bacillati; Bacillota; Bacilli; Caryophanales; Staphylococcaceae. The record is from RNAcentral.